RNAcentral lists this ribosomal RNA (497 nucleotides) under uncultured bacterium. Its description in RNAcentral is "partial 16S ribosomal RNA". It matches the Rfam family "Bacterial small subunit ribosomal RNA", at positions 28 to 507 of the family's 1533-position model. The record is from RNAcentral.
GAUGAACGCUGGCGGCGUGCCUAAUACAUGCAAGUCGAGCGAACAGACGAGGAGCUUGCUCCUCUGACGUUAGCGGCGGACGGGUGAGUAACACGUGGAUAACCUACCUAUAAGACUGGGAUAACUUCGGGAAACCGGAGCUAAUACCGGAUAAUAUAUUGAACCGCAUGGUUCAAUAGUGAAAGACGGUUUUGCUGUCACUUAUAGAUGGAUCCGCGCCGCAUUAGCUAGUUGGUAAGGUAACGGCUUACCAAGGCAACGAUGCGUAGCCGACCUGAGAGGGUGAUCGGCCACACUGGAACUGAGACACGGUCCAGACUCCUACGGGAGGCAGCAGUGGGGAAUCUUCCGCAAUGGGCGAAAGCCUGACGGAGCAACGCCGCGCGAGUGAUGAAGGUCUUCGGAUCGUAAAGCUCUGUUAUUAGGGAAGAACAAAUGUGUAAGUAACUAUGCACGUCUUGACGGUACCUAAUCAGAAAGCCACGGCUAACUACGUG